This 456-nucleotide ribosomal RNA is filed under the name uncultured bacterium. Its description in RNAcentral is "bacterial SSU rRNA". It matches the Rfam family "Bacterial small subunit ribosomal RNA", at positions 340 to 786 of the family's 1533-position model. The record is from RNAcentral.
UACGGAAGGCAGCAGGGGGAAUAUUGCACAAUGGGCGCAAGCCUGAUGCAGCCAUGCCGCGUGUAUGAAGAAGGCCUUCGGGUUGUAAAGUACUUUCAGCGGGGAGGAAGGCGAUGCGGUUAAUAACCGCGUCGAUUGACGUUACCCGCAGAAGAAGCACCGGCUAACUCCGUGCCAGCAGCCGCGGUAAUACGGAGGGUGCAAGCGUUAAUCGGAAUUACUGGGCGUAAAGCGCACGCAGGCGGUCUGUUAAGUCAGAUGUGAAAUCCCCGGGCUUAACCUGGGAACUGCAUUUUGAAACUGGCAGGCUUGAGUCUUGUAGAGGGGGUUAGAAUUCCAGGUGUAGCGGUGAAAUGCGUAGAGAUCUGGAGGAAUACCGGUGGCGAAGGCGGCCCCUGGGACAAAGCUGACGCUCAGGGUGCGAAAGCGUGGGGAGCGAAACAGGGAUUAGAUACC